UCCAGGGUAGUCUAGUGGACAUGGCAUCUGCCCGGUAAAUUGAACACUGUGAGUUCGAUUUCCAUUCCUGGAC
Cordylochernes scorpioides is the source of this 73-nucleotide non-coding RNA. The record is from the annotation of a GenBank genome assembly. NCBI's taxonomy places the organism in Eukaryota, Metazoa, Arthropoda, Arachnida, Pseudoscorpiones, Chernetidae.